RNAcentral lists this ribosomal RNA (478 nucleotides) under uncultured bacterium. RNAcentral's name for it is "partial 16S ribosomal RNA". It matches the Rfam family "Bacterial small subunit ribosomal RNA", at positions 28 to 523 of the family's 1533-position model. The record is from RNAcentral.
GACGAACGCUGGCGGCGUGCUUAACACAUGCAAGUCGAACGGUAAGGCCCUUCGGGGUACACGAGUGGCGAACGGGUGAGUAACACGUGGGUGAUCUGCCCUGCACUUCGGGAUAAGCCUGGGAAACUGGGUCUAAUACCGGAUAGGACCACUGCCUGCAUGGGUGGUGGUGGAGAGCUUUUGUGGGGUGGGAUGGGCCCGUGGCCUAUCAGCUUGUUGGUGGGGGGCUGGCCUACCAAGGCGACGACGGGUAGCCGGCCUGAGAGGGUUACCGGCCACACUGGGACUGAGAUACGGCCCAGACUCCUACGGGAGGCAGCAGUGGGGAAUAUUGCACAAUGGGCGCAAGCCUGAUGCAGCGACGCCGCGUGAGGGAUGACGGCCUUCGGGUUGUAAACCUCUUUCAGCACCGACGAAGCGCAAGUGACGGUAGGUGCAGAAGAAGGACCGGCCAACUACGUGCCAGCCGCCGCCGUAA